This 1628-nucleotide long non-coding RNA is filed under the name Triticum aestivum (bread wheat). Its description in RNAcentral is "long non-coding RNA (TAES_LNC018141)". The record is from RNAcentral. Lineage: Eukaryota; Viridiplantae; Streptophyta; Magnoliopsida; Poales; Poaceae.
AAUAUUUCUGUGUUUAUGUAGAUGAGCACAAGUGAUAGCCAUAGUGAACAGUCCAAAAGUGAUUCUGAUGCUAUGCCAACCUCAAGGAGGCAAAGGAGAAAAAAAUACAUGAUGGCUACACUUGUUGGUAUCAUGUACAGUGAGAAGUAUCUCAUGAAAAAGAAGAGAAGAGUUCCGAUAAUGACCGGACAACAGUGGGUUACUGAGAACUUGAGUAGUCCAAAAGAUUGCUAUAACAUGUUCAGGAUGUACAAGCCUUGUUUUGAUAGGUUGCAUCGUACACUUGUACACAAAUAUGGCUUGAAAGGAACAAGAAACAUGAGUUCAGAAGAAGCAUUGAGUAUGUUUCUCUGGACGGUUGGGGGCCCUCAAUCCGUAAGCCAAGUGGAGAAUCAUUUCAAGAGAUCAACCGAAGUUAUACAUCGCAAAUUCAAUGAAGUAUUGAAAUGCUUGAAUGACAUGGUUGUAGACAUCAUUCGACCAAGUGAUCCGGAGUUCAGAGUUGUACAUGGUAGGCUUCGAGAUGCAAGAUCCGCACCUCACUUUGAUGGUUGCAUAGGUGCAAUUGAUGGGUCGCAUAUUCCUGUAAUAGUUCCAAAUGAUGAGAUCGUCAACCAUGUUGAUCGACAUGGAUACCCAACACAAAAUAUCAUGGCAGUGUAUGACUUUGACAUGAGAUUCACUUCUAUUAUCACGGGAUGGCCAGGGUCAGCACAUGACACAAGGAUAUUCAGAGAUACUUUGGUGAAGUAUGCAGAUAGGUUUCCACAUCCACCGAUGGGUAUCUAUUUCAUUUACAUGCGCAUGACAAUAUUGUUUUAGUUAGCUUGUUCAUCCCUUGUGUAAAACUAGUACUUUAUGCAGGGAGGUACUAUCUUGUGGAUAGUCUGGCGGCGUUUUCCCUGAUCUCGCGCCCUUUUCAUCCGCUGGCACUGUUUUCCCUUUCCCGUCCAUUGGGCUGGGCUGGAUCGUGUUUGUGGGCCGACUGUGCUCUGUGUUUUCCUGGUUUUUGGCUGCUGUCGUCGGAUGACCAGCGAACCGUGAUACGGGAAGGACGUCCCUCAGCAGUACUUUGAAGUACGUCAGAGGAUCUUCUUCCGUGAGACGUAACUAGAUGAGAUGAAUGAUUAGUGUUAGCUUGAGGAAGCUGAUUGUGGUGGCCUCCUGCUUCCCGGUGAAGUCCAUAGCCACCGGGGUCCCUUCAUCUCCACCACCGGGAGAACCUAGAUCCACAGGCUGGUAGUCAAAUCGGGACCUCGAGGGGCGCAGGAGCAAGCAGAUCGGGAGCACCCAGAUGCACGAAUAUCAAAUUUGGGAAGAACGUGACAAAGGGAAACGAAGCUAAUUGGAAUUUUGGAACGGAAAUCACUAAAAUUGGGGUUGCUCACCUCUUCCCGUGCACUCAUGCCCAACCAAACUUCAAUCCAAACAGUGGCAAUGUUGUCAUGUAGUAGCCCAAUGCAGCGCUGCCGUGAUCACCUGCCACGGCUCCGGUGGGAUCACUAGCCACCGCUCCGUGCACAGCGCGGUCCAAUACCUAUGCAGACGCCGCACACCACGCCGCCGGACCACCCAAUGCUGAGACCAUGCCGCCCCACCAGCAUGACAAACAAUGGCUUAACUCCGAG